Molecule: ribosomal RNA, 254 nt
Filed under: uncultured bacterium
Lineage: Bacteria
Description: partial 16S ribosomal RNA
Rfam family: Bacterial small subunit ribosomal RNA
Source: RNAcentral
UACGGAGGGUGCGAGCGUUGUCCGGAAUCAUUGGGCGUAAAGGGCGCGUAGGUGGCCCGGUCAGUUCGUGGUGAAAGCGCGGGGCUCAACCCUGCGUCGGCCAUGAAUACUGCCGCGGCUGGAGCACUGUAGAGGCAGGCGGAAUUCCGGGUGUAGCGGUGGAAUGCGUAGAGAUCCGGAAGAACACCGGUGGCGAAGGCGGCCUGCUGGGCUAUGGCUGACACUGAGGCGCGACAGCGUGGGGAGCAAACAGG